GAUGAACGCUGGCGGCGUGCCUAAUACAUGCAAGUCGAGCGAACGGACGAGAAGCUUGCUUCUCUGAUGUUAGCGGCGGACGGGUGAGUAACACGUGGAUAACCUACCUAUAAGACUGGGAUAACUUCGGGAAACCGUAGCUAAUACCGGAUAAUAUUUUGAACCGCAUGGUUCAAAAGUGAAAGACGGUCUUGCUGUCACUUAUAGAUGGAUCCGCGCUGCAUUAGCUAGUUGGUAAGGUAACGGCUUACCAAGGCAACGAUGCAUAGCCGACCUGAGAGGGUGAUCGGCCACACUGGAGCUGAGACACGGUCCAAACUCCUACGGGAGGCAGCAGUAGGGAAUCUUCCGCAAUGGGCGAAAGCCUGACGGAGCAACGCCGCGUGAGUGAGGAAGGUCUACGGAUCGUAAAACUCUGUUAUUAGGGAAGAACAUAUGUGUAAGUAACUGUGCACAUCUGGACGGUACCUAAUCAGAAAGCCACGGCUAACUACGU
This 496-nucleotide ribosomal RNA is filed under the name uncultured bacterium. Its description in RNAcentral is "partial 16S ribosomal RNA". It matches the Rfam family "Bacterial small subunit ribosomal RNA", at positions 28 to 506 of the family's 1533-position model. The record is from RNAcentral.